RNAcentral lists this ribosomal RNA (245 nucleotides) under uncultured bacterium. Its description in RNAcentral is "partial 16S ribosomal RNA". It matches the Rfam family "Bacterial small subunit ribosomal RNA", at positions 524 to 768 of the family's 1533-position model. The record is from RNAcentral.
UACGUAGGGUGCUAGCGUUGUUCGGAAUCAUUGGGCGUAAAGCGCGUGUAGGCGGUUAGGUAAGUCGGGUGUGAAAUCCCUGGGCUCAACCGAGGAAGGGCAUCCGAAACUCCCUAGCUGGAGGACGGUAGAGGAAGGUGGAAUUCCUAGUGUAGAGGUGAAAUUCGUAGAUAUUAGGAGGAAUACCGGUGGCGAAGGCGGCCUUCUGGGCCGAUCCUGACGCUGAGACGCGAAAGCGUGGGGAG